Molecule: ribosomal RNA, 261 nt
Filed under: Escherichia coli
Lineage: Bacteria; Pseudomonadati; Pseudomonadota; Gammaproteobacteria; Enterobacterales; Enterobacteriaceae
Description: partial 16S ribosomal RNA
Rfam family: Bacterial small subunit ribosomal RNA
Source: RNAcentral
UGGAGGGGGAUAACUACUGGAAACGGUAGCUAAUACCGCAUAAUGUCGCAAGACCAAAGAGGGGGACCUUCGGGCCUCUUGCCAUCGGAUGUGCCCAGAUGGGAUUAGCUUGUUGGUGGGGUAACGGCUCACCAAGGCGACGAUCCCUAGCUGGUCUGAGAGGAUGACCAGCCACACUGGAACUGAGACACGGUCCAGACUCCUACGGGAGGCAGCAGUGGGGAAUAUUGCACAAUGGGCGCAAGCCUGAUGCAGCCAUGC